GGGCGAUGCGUUCCGUGGCGCUGAAAUGCUUGACACGGUAGGGGUCACUGGUUCGAUCCCAGUAUCGCCCA
This 71-nucleotide transfer RNA is filed under the name Streptosporangiales bacterium. RNAcentral describes it as "tRNA-OTHER". Lineage: Bacteria; Bacillati; Actinomycetota; Actinomycetes; Streptosporangiales. The record is from RNAcentral.